RNAcentral lists this ribosomal RNA (463 nucleotides) under Dendropsophus sp. 2 MF-2020. RNAcentral describes it as "partial large subunit ribosomal RNA". It matches the Rfam family "Bacterial large subunit ribosomal RNA", at positions 1988 to 2602 of the family's 2925-position model. Lineage: Eukaryota; Metazoa; Chordata; Amphibia; Anura; Hylidae. The record is from RNAcentral.
UAGUAUGAAUGGCACCACGAGGGUUAUACUGUCUCCUUUUUCCAAUCAAUGAAACUGAUUUCCCCGUGAAGAAGCGGGGAUAAGCCUAUAAGACGAGAAGACCCUAUGGAGCUUCAAACAACAAUAGCACUGGCCCUCAUUUUUACGUCAAUAGACACAACCAUUAUUCUGGCCAGCAUGACUAUUAGUUUUAGGUUGGGGUGACCGCGGAGCAAAAAUUAACCUCCACAUUGAACGGAGCUUCUCCUGAGCUAAAAAAGCAACGAUUUUAAGCACCAAUAAAUUGACAUUAAUUGACCCAACAUGUUGAACAACGAACCAAGUUACCCUAGGGAUAACAGCGCAAUCCAUUUCAAGAGCCCACAUCGACAAAUGGGUUUACGACCUCGAUGUUGGAUCAGGGUAUCCCAGUGGUGCAGCCGCUACUAAAGGUUCGUUUGUUCAACGAUUAAAACCCUACGUG